This 534-nucleotide long non-coding RNA is filed under the name Danio rerio (zebrafish). RNAcentral describes it as "si:cabz01015814.1 (ENSDARG00000105743.2)". The record is from RNAcentral. Lineage: Eukaryota; Metazoa; Chordata; Actinopteri; Cypriniformes; Danionidae.
UGCAGAUGUUGCGAAACAAAGGCAACUUUAUGCACAACAAUGAUGUGCUGAAGAAAGGAUCGGGUGCCCUGAAAGUUAAACGCCGUUCUGUAAAACGAACCGCAAACAAGUACACGUACUGUGUUCAUUGCCGGGGGAUGUUUGUUUGCGAGGUACUCAAGAGGCACAUGAAGAAUUGCUCAGCCAAAAGAGUCCAUCAGGAAGCACUGGGAGCACAGGGUCCUGCUGAAGUGGCCAACGCUGCAAUUCCAGUGUGCUCUUCUGUGUCUGAAUCACACAGUUUCCAGAGUGUGCCUGAUUCACCUGAAAGCCUGGACAAAGAUCUGUUGCUAGGUAACAAAUUUGAUCCUGAAUCACAGUCUGACUUGAACUCAAAAACUGAACUGGAUUUAGAAAGGACUAUCAGCAACACUAUUGAGAACUCUCUGGAGCCCUGCAUGACCACUGAGAGGAAGUCCUCUAGUCUGAACAUCACAGGAGAUUCACUCAUUCACAAUCUGUCCUCCUUACCUGACUUAAGCCCCAGCAGCAUCA